UGAUAGGUGAUUUGACGUGAUAAUCAUCUGUUGGCGGCUAAAUCUCGGGGGAAAUCCUGAAUCGAAGAACUGCGAUGGUAUCUCGUCCCCUAUGGAAUCCGACGUUUCCAUCGACCCUUCGCCGUUGUUUUCGUGACCAGGAGCUCUCUUUUCCUGGUUUUCUCACUGCGAAAAAUUCGAUUUUUGGCGGAUCCCUUCUGCGUACUGGUGUACGAUACAGUGGUUUGUGCUCUUCCAGCGCGGAUUGGUGUGCUUGAGGUUCGGAAUCUCUUUUCCGGGUUCUCUUUCUGCGAACAGUUUGAUUUUGGCGUUACACUGCGGGCUGUGAUCUCGUUCAGUACGGAUUGGUGUUGUUGAGGUUCGGGAUUGGCCAAAGUUUGGGUUUUGGAGGUUAUUAGGGUUUCUUGCGCUCUGCCUGGUUUGCCUACUAUGGGUUUGUGCAAGGAUGAGACUGAGAGGAAGCAGAUGCUAACUCUUUUCCUUCUUCUCGCACUGCUGGCUCCGGAAGCGGCUGGUAAUGUGGUGCUGAUUGGGAAAAAUGUGUCUUUCUCGUUUCCGGACGUCGAAGCCAAUUUUGCUUCACCAAUAAAAAAAUCAGGUGAAUCUGGAAUAUUAUAUGUUGCAGAACCGUUAGAAGCGUGCACUACUUUAACAAAUGAGCUCGCUAAGGAUUCAGGAACUCCAUUUGUGUUGAUCAGCAGAGGAAAAUGUCCUUUUGAAACUAAAGUCAGGAAUGCACAAUAUGCUGGGUUUAAAGCUGCAAUUGUAUUCGACAAUGAAGAUAGAGGGAUCCUGAUUUCAAUUUGCAGUUAUUAGAACUAAAGAAUAAAAGGAUAGUUGAAUCCAUGCAACAGAUACUCAAAGCUGUAUGUUGGCGAAAGUUAUAGUCUAAUCGAUAGGACACAACAAGAACGUAAGCGUGUUAAUGUUGAUCCUCAUUUUCCUCUUUGAGAUUGGUCAAUUUGGAUAUGAUUGGUCCUCCUUCUAUUGCCAAUGGUUUCAGGGAAUCUAUGUCUUUGCAAUAAAUUGCUUGAGUUUGUUCUACUAUAUCGUGGUCAACGUUUAGUCCUUUGCCUUUAAGUGAUUCAUAUUUUAAUGAAAUAUUGCAGUGGCUGGAAAUUCAGUCGGCAUUCAUAUCCACGCUUUGUUCAUUUCAAAGGCUUCAGGAGCGACACUGCAGAAUUAUGCUGGCCGUGCUGAUUUAGAGUUGUGGAUCUUGCCUACCGUUGAUAACUCAGCGUGGGCAAUCGUGGCCAUUUCAUUCAUGUCACUACUAGCCAUUUCCGCUAUGUUUGCUAUGUGUUUUUUGGUGCGCAGAAAUAUUAUAAGGCGCGAGCAAUCUCCACUUCCGCACAUCCGUGAAUUUCAUGGAAUGAGCAGUCAUUUAGUGAAAGCAAUGCCGAGUCUCGAAUUCACCUCGGUCGUCGAAGAUAAUUGCACUUCAACAACAUGUGCUAUUUGCCUAGAAGACUAUUGUGCAGGGGAUAAACUUCGUGUGCUUCCAUGUAGUCAUAAGUUCCAUGUGUGUUGCGUCGACUACUGGCUCACUUCUUGGAGAACAUUCUGCCCUGUUUGCAAGCGAGAUGCAACGGCUGGCAUAAGCAUAACUAAUCUUCCGGCCACCGAGCACACUCCCUUACUUUAUGGUGCAACUCCAACAAUCAGUUCUCGGCCAUCAUCGGUUCAUUCACCUGUUGCAGCAUCUCCAGCAGUUCGUAUAUCUUUAAUGCCUCCACAGUCACAUUCAAAUUCUCGAUCUCAUUCCUAUGCUAGUUCUCCUUGUUCCCAACCUAUCCGAAUAACGCCAUUUCAUCUCCGGUCUAAUUCAAGUUUAGCAUCGGGCAUUUCUCGUAUCCCUAACCCACAUAGUUCUUACGGAUACUCACCAUCUUUGGACCUUAGAAAUUCAUCGUCCCAUAGGUCUCGCUCUUAUAUCACAUCUCCUCAUUCCGUUUAUUCACCUAUCAAUUCGAGACUCCGAUCCUCUUUCAUACCCGGUUCGAGUAAUCCAACCUCCAACAAUCUAGCUGCAUCCUCCAGUAGACAAUCUUACUUGCGACAUUGCACCGAAUCAGAGGCAAGUCUUUCUGCUCUCGCUUCCACAUAUUCUCUACCAGGAUGCUGAUCCAUGCGAUAGCUGCAGUUUCCCCGGAUAGCAAGCAUGAUUUGUGAUGAAUAUCGCAAAGUCGACUUAUUGUACGACAAUGAUACCCCCUUUGUGUACAGGCUGAUUGUUCGGUUUAUAUCGUUUUGAUCUCGUUUUGUUGUUGUUACCGCUUGCUUCUCGAAGUAGUAGUCAUCGCCCCGUGGUUGAAGUUGAAUCAUUCAAUUGAUGUAUCAGUUAUUUCAUCGA
This is an RNA transcript of Zingiber officinale, 2353 nucleotides long. It is a transcript of the gene named receptor homology region, transmembrane domain- and RING domain-containing protein 1-like, with no coding region annotated. The transcript has 5 exons. NCBI's taxonomy places the organism in Eukaryota, Viridiplantae, Streptophyta, Magnoliopsida, Zingiberales, Zingiberaceae. The record is from RefSeq and is a predicted model, not a curated record.